AGAGUUUGAUCAUGGCUCAGGAUGAACGCUGGCGGCGUGCUUAACACAUGCAAGUCGAACGAGGUCCAUGGAGCUUGCUCCGGAAGAUCUAGUGGCGAACGGGUGCAUAACACGUGAGAAACCUGCCUCAGUCUCUGGGAUAACAGUUGGAAACGACUGCUAAUACCGGAUGCCGUCACACCAUCACAUGGUGGAGUGACGAAAGAUUUAUCGGAUUGAGAGGGUCUCGCGGCCUAUCAGCUAGUUGGAGAGGUAACGGCCCACCAAGGCAUGGACGGGUAGCUGGUCUGAGAGGAUGAUCAGCCACACUGGGACUGAGACACGGCCCAGACUCCUACGGGAGGCAGCAGUGGGGAAUCUUGCACAAUGGGCGAAAGCCUGAUGCAGCAACGCCGCGUGCGGGAAGAAGGCCCUAGGGUUGUAAACCGCUUUCAGUAGGGAAGAAAAUGACGGUACCUACAGAAGAAGGUGCGGCCAACUACGUGCCAGCAGCCGCGGUGACACGUAGGCACCAAGCGUUAUCCGGAUUUAUUGGGCGUAAAGAGCUCGUAGGCGGUUCGGUAAGUCGGGUGUGAAAACUCUGGGCUCAACCCAGAGAGGCCACCCGAUACUGCUGUGACUAGAGUGCGGUAGGGGAGCGGGGAAUUCCUGGUGUAGCGGUGAAAUGCUUAGAUAUGACAUAGAACACCUAUUGCGAAGGCAGCUUACUACGCAGAGAUUGACGCUCAUGCACGAAAGCGUGGGGAUCAAACAGGAUUAGAUACCCUAGUAGUCC
RNAcentral lists this ribosomal RNA (775 nucleotides) under uncultured bacterium. Its description in RNAcentral is "bacterial SSU rRNA". It matches the Rfam family "Bacterial small subunit ribosomal RNA", at positions 8 to 796 of the family's 1533-position model. The record is from RNAcentral.